GGAAGCGAUCAUACCAGCACUAAAGCACCGGAUCCCAUCAGAACUCCGAAGUUAAGCGUGCUUGGGCGAGAGUAGUACAAGGAUGGGUGACCUCUUGGGAAGUCCUCGUGUUGCAUUCC
Molecule: ribosomal RNA, 119 nt
Filed under: Triticum aestivum (bread wheat)
Lineage: Eukaryota; Viridiplantae; Streptophyta; Magnoliopsida; Poales; Poaceae
Source: RNAcentral